RNAcentral lists this ribosomal RNA (560 nucleotides) under Microphallidae sp. SB64_Sept19_R. RNAcentral describes it as "partial large subunit ribosomal RNA". Lineage: Eukaryota; Metazoa; Platyhelminthes; Trematoda; Plagiorchiida; Microphallidae. The record is from RNAcentral.
GCUGUCUGGCUGUUGCGGUUAAACCGGUGUUGCAUUGUCCCUGUGGCUUUGCUUGAUCGGGAUGGCAGGUAGCUCGUUGACUUGCUUGUGGCUUGCUGCAGGCGUUCAGUCUUCGGGUGUAAUCAGCUGACCGCCUCGGUUCUGUGCGGUGUGUCGGAGACGGCGGCUUUUGCGUGUGCGUGCGUGCCUGUUCGUCUGGUGUGCCCGAGUUCUGGUUGUUAUGUCGCCUGUGGAUGCAGGCCUGAUGAUGGCUCGGGUUCGUGCGGGCGGCGGUUGCGUGCGUGUCACGGUGAUGGGGCCCAUAGUCUGUGGUGUAGUGGUAGACUAUCCACCCGACCCGUCUUGAAACACGGACCAAGGAGAGUAACAUGUGCGCGAGUCAUUGGGCGCUACGAAACCCAGAGGCGCAGUGAAAGUAAAGGUCUGGCUUGUCCUGACUGUGGUGAGAUCCUGUCGUUCCUCAUGCGUGGUACCGUCAAGCAUCGAGCGGCAGGCGCAUCACCGGCCCGUCCCAUGACAAUUGUUUUUCGACAUUACCCAGUCGGGGCGGAGCAUAGCGA